RNAcentral lists this transfer RNA (73 nucleotides) under Spirochaetales bacterium. Its description in RNAcentral is "tRNA-Pro". It matches the Rfam family "tRNA". Rfam says of the family: Transfer RNA (tRNA) molecules are approximately 80 nucleotides in length. The record is from RNAcentral. Lineage: Bacteria; Pseudomonadati; Spirochaetota; Spirochaetia; Spirochaetales.
CGGAAUGUAGCCCAGCGGCUAGGGCACCUGCUUUGGGAGCAGGAGAUCGGAGGUUCGAGUCCUCUCAUUCCGA